UCAACUUUCACACACUGCUCUCCCGUUAUUUGCCUCCUUCCCUCCCUGUCGCCCCUUUCCCUCCUCUCCCUCCUCCUCCUCCUCCUCCUUUUCCAGUUCAGCGGCGCAAAUUUCUGUUUGUGCCAGUGGGGCGGCCUGGCGAGACCGCAAUUGCUCUACCCCACAGAUUGACGAGCCCUCAGAUGCCGAUUUACUGUACAUGGCAGCCACGCUGGAGCCGCGGCACAUCUGGAGUGGAGUAAGCUUACUCAGAAACAGGGGCCAGCUCCAGCCGGAGCCAGCGGAGCCGAGCGCGGCGCUGAAAGGCAGCCCUCCUGCCUCCCCUUCCCUCCUCCCCGGAUCCCAGUAGGAAAGGGUCAAAAUUCCCUGUGAAACAUCUUGCCCAGGUCUCAGCCUUCUCACCAGGGGAAGCAGUGAGCAUUGCCUCCUUAUGGCUGCUUAGAAACCGCUCGAGUCUUUCGGGAGGCAAAGAACAGAGAAAGAAAAGCAGCUUGAGAUGACUUCUUUGAGCUCCUACAUAGGAGUGGAGCUCCCAGUUGUCUGGAUUCCUGGGAGGAGGAGAAACAGCCCUGGCAUACCUGGUGUGGAGCUGAAUCUACAUCCAGAUCCUGCAUCGUGCUGGUCUCCUUGGGGACAGAGGACAUAGUAACCACAGGCAUCAGAACCAGAAUGUGCUGCUGCAAAUUUCUCCUGCUUCCAAAAAGUUUUACUACAGCUUGAAGCAGCCUGGGCAUUUAAAUGUAACAGCUGCGAGAGAGAGUCCUGCCUGGUUGAGACAAACCUGACAUUCAUUCCUGCUGGCCUGCCUAAGGGAGGAUCCCUUUUGGCUCACCUGACACAUCUGCUACUUCCACAUCCCAAGAAGUCAAGCAUUAUGUUUCAGGUGCAAUAAAACAUGGCUCCUUCCUGGUGUGAGGAAUUUCUAGUGGUGACAUUGAUUUUCUCUGAGUGCAUUCCAACAGAUCUGUGGACUGGACCUGGCUUAUGAGGUGUGUUAAAGGUUUAUUUGCCCUGCAAUUCAGCCAUAAUGCCCAGGAUAAUUUUUUCCGUGAUGUGGCCUUCAGUGCCUCUGGUGCAUCCCCUCAGGGCAGCCUUUGGCCCUUGGGUCUCCCCAGAGCCAGUGGCUUCCCUCAGCUGUUUUGUGCUGGCCACAAUACAAGCAUGGCCCAAGUAAGACCGAGACAACUGAUAAUGCCUUAAUGUUUGUAAUACCAGCAGGACAGAAAUGAUCAGCUGCAAGGUGAGAGUUGUUUGGAUUUCACAGCUCCUCAGGAGUGGUGUGUUUUGCAGUGGUGGCUGUGGUUUGAUGGGGGAGCUGUUCUGAAUGCUACAGGAAGCACAAAGGGUCCACUCUGCUUGU
This is a long non-coding RNA of Passer montanus (Eurasian tree sparrow), 1360 nucleotides long. RefSeq lists it as uncharacterized. The record is from RefSeq and is a predicted model, not a curated record. The transcript is spliced from 5 exons. NCBI's taxonomy places the organism in Eukaryota, Metazoa, Chordata, Aves, Passeriformes, Passeridae.